Molecule: non-coding RNA, 1405 nt
Organism: Peromyscus maniculatus bairdii (prairie deer mouse)
Lineage: Eukaryota; Metazoa; Chordata; Mammalia; Rodentia; Cricetidae
Source: RefSeq, a predicted model, not a curated record
AGGAAUAAAAUAAGGAGCUGGGGCAUUAGACAUAUCUUGGAGAAAUUAGUCUUCACCCAUGACCCAAUGAAGUGUUUGCCUAUAUUCUAUUAAUAAAAACUCAGGAGUCAGAUAUUGGGGUACAAACCUACUAGAUCAAGAAAGCAGUAGGGAAAUGACUAGCCAACUCUCUUUCUCCACUCUGUCAGAUUGAAAAGCCUGAGAAUCUCUCUCUCCAAGCCCCCCCACCUUUCUCUUCCUCUACUUCUCUCUCUGGGCCCUCCAAAAUCUGUAUGGCUAAUUCUGGUCAGCUAGUUAUGGACUCCAUCCCUUGAUUCAAGGUUUAACUUUACUAACAGUCUCAGAGUAUCGUUGUGCAAUCAAAUAUCCCACAACAGCCCAACUAUCAGAGUGUUCUAUUUUUGUGAAGAGACACCAUGACCACAGCAACUCUUAGAAAAGAGAGCAUUGAAUUGGGGCCUGCUUACAGUUUCAGAGGUUUAGUCUGUUAUUAUCAUGGCGGGGAGCAUGGUCGCAUACAGGCAGACAUGGUGCUGGAGAAGUAUCUCAGAGUUCUACAAAUGGAUCUUCAUGCAACUGGGAGAGAAAGACUCAGGGCUUGGAAUGGGCUUUUUAAAACCUCAAAGCCCACCCCCAAUGACACACUUUCUCCAACAAGGCCACACCUCCUAAUCCUUCCAUAUAGUGCCACCCCCUGGUGACCAAGCAUUCAAAUCUAUGAGCCUGUGGGGACCAUUAUUAUUCAAACUACCAUACCACCCCAAUUCUGGUUGCAGAAGUCUGAUCAAAAUAAGAAAAAGGAAACACCAGGAAAAAAAGAAAAAGCAGAGAACAAAAAGCAACUGAAGGUAGGAAAAGCAAACUCAAGAUAAGAAAACUAAAGCUGUGAAGGCAGAUGAAACCAUACUUCAGAAAAGGAAUACAGAGAAAAUGGAACCCCCACCCCAGCCAGAGCAGCUGCCUGCUAAGGUCAUGCUGGCAAGCAUAAAGAUCCAGGCCUGGUGGCGAGGCACCCUGGUGCGCCGGACCCUGCUGAAGGCUGCCCUCAGUGCUUGGACCAUUCAGUGCUGGUGGAGGCAGACAAUGGCCAGGCUGCUGAAGAGGAGGUUACAGGAGAAGAUGGACUGCAGCCUGAGACAAAUAUAUGCAGCUGUGAAGCUGCAGUCCUGGGUGCGUAUGUGGCUCACCCGGAAGCAAUAUCUCCAUUUGCGCAACUCUGUUCUAAAACUGCAAGACUCUAGGAAUUAUGACUACAUUUGUAGAAAUCAUAGUGCGAUCCAGGGCUGCUAUGAGAUCACAGGAAAGAAGAUAAAACUUCAGGUUGAUAUCUUUUUUGAAUCGCAGAUUUGUCGGAUUUCAGACUGUGUGCCUUUCCCAAUAAAGAACUGACCAGGGUUGCUCCUAA